Molecule: ribosomal RNA, 110 nt
Filed under: Erigeron morrisonensis var. fukuyamae
Lineage: Eukaryota; Viridiplantae; Streptophyta; Magnoliopsida; Asterales; Asteraceae
Description: partial 18S ribosomal RNA
Rfam family: Eukaryotic small subunit ribosomal RNA
Source: RNAcentral
UGGGCGGUUCGCCGCCUGCGACUUCGCGAGAAUUCCACUGAACCUUAUCAUUUAGAGGAAGGAGAAGUCGUAACAAGGUUUCCGUAGGUGAACCUGCGGAAGGAUCAUUG